UGUAAGCGUAUACCAAAGUUGUUGCAGUUAAAACGCUCGUAGUCGGAAUUUGGCAGUUCCAGAUGUGUGCACGUCGUGUGCGCACUUCGCGGGGAUUGCUUUUGUGGUCUUGCGUAGGAUGAGGCACUUUUAUUAGUGAACGUCCUCACGCAACCACUUUUUACUGUGAGAAAAUCAGAGUGCUCAAAGCAGGCAUUUGCCGUGAAUGUAUUAGCAUGGAAUAAUAGAAUAGGACUUGGUUCUAUUUUGUUGGUUUGUUGGGACUGAGUAAUGAUUAAGAGGGACAGUUGGGGGCACUUGUAUUUCGGUGCUAGAGGUGAAAUUCUUAGAUUACCGAAAGACAAACUGCUGCGAAAGCGUCUGCCAAGGAUGUUUUCAUUGA
RNAcentral lists this ribosomal RNA (382 nucleotides) under uncultured eukaryote. Its description in RNAcentral is "partial 18S ribosomal RNA". It matches the Rfam family "Eukaryotic small subunit ribosomal RNA", at positions 592 to 976 of the family's 1831-position model. The record is from RNAcentral.